This 2259-nucleotide ribosomal RNA is filed under the name Triticum aestivum (bread wheat). RNAcentral describes it as "partial small subunit ribosomal RNA". Lineage: Eukaryota; Viridiplantae; Streptophyta; Magnoliopsida; Poales; Poaceae. The record is from RNAcentral.
AUGGCUAAGCUUGUGCUGCUCAUCCGAGGAGCUGCACUACUGCUUUGUCUAUUGAUCUUCCAAGUAACAUCCACUUCCCAUGGCCAAGCGAGUGGGUCGGGAGCCUGCAUCAGCAGCGAGCGAGAUGCGCUUCUGUCCUUCAAGGCAAGCCUCCUCGACCCUGCUGGCCAUCUCUCGUCAUGGCAGGGUGAGGAUUGUUGCCAGUGGAAGGGAGUCCGGUGUAGCAACAGAACGGGCCAUCUCAUCAAGCUCAACCUCCGCAACAUCGACAUGAAAGACAUGUACACCAUGUACGACUACAGCUACAAAAUGGUUGACUACAGCUACCCGAACUGGAGCAGAUCAUUGAGCUUGUCGGCAGGCGAGAUGAGCUCUUCUUUGGCUACUCUACAACACCUGAGGUAUCUUGAUCUGAGCGGGAAUGACUUCAAUGGCACAAGCAUCCCUGUGUUCUUAGCUUCUCUCAAGAACCUAAGGUAUCUCAACCUCUCGUGGACAGGAUUCAGUGGGAGAAUACCUUCCCAACUUGGCAAUCUCUCAAAGUUGCAAUAUCUUGAUCUCAGUUGGAAUUAUGAUUAUUAUGUGAAUACGCCUUACAUAGUGGAUCUUGCAUGGUUGCCACGUCUCUCUUCGUUGAGGCAUCUUGACAUGAGUUUUGCUGAUCUUGGUUCUGCGAGAGAUUGGUUUCGGAGUGUUAAUAUGCUUCCUUCUCUUAAAGUGCUUGGCUUGUCCGGUUGUGGACUCAACAGCACCAUGUUUGCUAGUAUAUCACUUUCCAACCUCACACAUCUCGAAGUCCUUCAUAUGUCUGAUAACAACUUCUAUACUUCACUCAAGCAUGCAUGGUUUUGGAAUCUCAAAAGCCUUAAGGAACUUUACCUCUCCGGUUCCAGCUGGAUAGGGUCUAUUCCUAGUGAUUUGGCAAACAUGACGGCCCUUCAAGUCAUAGAUUUAAGUGGGAAUCAGCUCAUGGGUUUGAUACCAGAAAAAUUGGAAAAUUUGUGCAAUUUGACCAGAAUGAGGUUCAGUGGUAACAACAUAGGUUCGAGCAUAGGGGAGUUCAUGAGGCGAUUACCAAAGUGCUCAUGGAAUACAUUGCAAGAAUUUUCGGUGCAGGAUGCAAAUAUGAUCGGGAAUCUUCCCAGUUGGAUUGGUAACAUGACCAAUCUCAGUGUUCUUCAUGCAUCUAAAAACAUGUUGAGUGGCUCUCUACCUGUAGGAGUUGGAGCACUGAGUAAUUUGAAAAGUCUGAUCCUUGGGAACAAUAACUUCAGCGGUGUGCUCUUGAAAGAACAAUUUGCAAAUUUAGGGAAAUUAGAGCUUUUGGACCUCAGCCACAAUAACUUCAACGGUGUGCUUUUGAAAGAACAAUUCGCAAAUUUAGGGAAAUUAGAGCUUUUGGACCUCAGCCACAAUAACUUCAGCGGUGAGCUAUUGAAAGAACAUUUUGCAAGUUUAGGCGCCUUAAAGAGUUUGAACCUUAGUUGCAAUAACUUCAGUGGUGUGCUCUCCAAUGAACAAUUUGCAAGGUUAUUUGGAGGAUUGCCAGAAUGGUUACCCCAAAAAAUGCCACACAUGAAAAUAUUAAGAGUGAGAUCAAAUAUGUUCAGUGGUCAUAUUCCUAAGAGUCUCACUUCCCUUCACGAUCUUCAUUAUUUGGACAUAGCACACAACAAGAUAACAGGAACCAUACCAUGGUCUUUGUCAAACCUGAAGGCAAUGAUGACAGUGGUGUCGCAGGACACGGGGGAUUAUAUUUAUGAAGAGAGCAUACCAGUAAUCACAAAGGACCAAAAGCGUGACUACACCUUUGCAAUUUACCAGCUAUUGGUUGUUCUUGAUUUGUCAAGUAAUAGUUUGGGGGAACAGGUUCCAGAGGAGAUAACUUUACUUGUUGGGCUUACCAAUCUGAACUUGUCAAAUAAUCAACUCAUAGGAGCAAUCCCAAAACAAAUUGGUGAUUUAAGGCAGUUGGACUCACUCGACCUAUCCUUCAAUGAGUUUUCUGGUGCAAUACCAUCAAGUUUGUCAGCUUUAACUUAUUUGAGCCACUUGAACUUGUCGUACAACAAUCUGUCCGGUGCAAUACCAUCCGGACAACAGCUACAAGCUCUUGAUAACCAGAUGUAUAUCUACAUUGGUAACCCUGAUCUUUGUGGAGAUCCUGUUGGCAGGAACUGCUCAACACAUGACGCAGAGCAAAGUGGCCUCGAAGAUAUAGAUCAUAUGCCAUCUGUUUAUCUUGCCAUGAGCAUUUGA